This 253-nucleotide ribosomal RNA is filed under the name uncultured bacterium. Its description in RNAcentral is "partial 16S ribosomal RNA". It matches the Rfam family "Bacterial small subunit ribosomal RNA", at positions 524 to 776 of the family's 1533-position model. The record is from RNAcentral.
UACGAGGGGGGCGAGCGUUGUUCGGAAUUAUUGGGCGUAAAGGGUGCGUAGGCGGUUUGGUAAGUCUUAUGUGAAAUCUACAGGCUCAACUUGUAGUCUGCAUGAGAAACUGCCGGGCUUGAGUAUGGGAGAGGUGAGUGGAAUUCCUGGUGUAGCGGUGAAAUGCGUAGAUAUCAGGAGGAACACCUGUGGCUAAAUCGGCUCACUGGACCAAAACUGACGCUGAUGCACGAAAGCUAGGGGAGCAAACAGG